CUGCAUGUCCAGAAAGCUUUCCUGGUGCUCAAGGGCAGGACAGGCCCGGGUGAGGAAAAGAGCUCCACUGAGGAUAGAAAUGGAGAAAUGCCAGCAGGGACCCAGGAGAAGUCACAGCCCCAGGGCCCACGGGGCUGACUGAAGGUCAGACAGGAAACACCAGGGCUGCUUUCCCAGCACUGAACCCUGCUCUGUUUCAUCCCUCUACCUUUUCCUAUUUUGCUCUGCUCUGAAAGGAGGAAAAGCAAAUAAAUGACAUAAAAUGCUCAGAGUUUGAGGGGUUUUCUCCUGAAAGCAGGGCAACAGCAUGAUGGCUUCUCAAAGAGUACCAAUGAAGAGAUGAUGUGCAUGAGGAGCUGUCCUGAACGUGCCUCUGCCUUUGGUAACUGAUGGACACAGACAUUCACCUCAGAUCACUCAUGGAAAGGUGGAUGUGCUUCCAGGGAUGGCUCACCCCACUUCUCACAGUCUGACACAAAUCAUUCUCUCAUAUUUAGAAGGAGCCCUGAUAACUGGUUUAUAUAGGAAAUUAUUUCACGCAGGGCCAGAUCUGCAAUCCUGAGCCAAAGCUGAAGCUUUGAGGGGGAAAAGAAAAGGAAUGGGGAAAGACAGGACAGGGGAGGAGAAGGAAAAAGAAAAUAAAGCGGGGGAGGCGAGCAGAAAGGAAAAGUAUGGCCAAAAAAUAAAAACAGCAGCAAUUUAGGAUACUUUGGGACUCAGUAAUACCAUUUCAAGGUGCUUCUGGCCUCAAAAACCGGCAUUUGGGAACUUCACAGCUGAGAACACAGAAGUUUCAGGAGCACUGGGGCUCAGAAGCACCAACACGGGGAGUUUUGGGACUUGAAACAGCAUUUGGGUUCAGAAAUACUGAUUUAGGGAGCACUAGGGCUCUAAAAUACCAAUUUAGGGACACAAGCUUACAAAGCCCUGAUUUGGGGAGUUCAAGGCUGAGAAAAAAUCAUGUCAGGAGCUCUGGGAAUCAGAGAGUGAUUUGGGGAUAUUUUCAGAUCAGCAAGAACGAUCUAGAGAGCUUCUGGGCUAAAAUAAAAACCCAAUUAAACCGAUUUUGCGCUCUGCAGUCCCCAUUUAGGACUCUUUGGAGCUCCAAGUCAGUGAUUUUAGGAGUUUUUGGGCUGAAAAACAUCGAUUUUGGAGCAGAAGGAGCAAACCUGGGGAAACUCGGGAGCAAGGGGCCGGUGCUUACCUGGCACAGGGCUCGGGGGAAGCAGCUCCGCGCUGGGCUGGAGCACCGGGGGCUCCUCAUCCCUUUAUCCCCCCCUGCCCGGCCCUUCCCACCCCCACGGGCUCCAUCCCUCCCUCCCCCCAGCACCUCCUUUCCCAUCUUCACACCCAUUUCCCCUAAAUCACGCUCAGCUGGAAAAUGAAAGUGAAAAUGCUCCCUGUGGUAUGCAGGUUUCAAAAUGCCAGAGGUUUGUGCCCAAAAUAGGGAAAAAAGGCAGAGGUUUAUGUCCAAAAGGAGACAACAGGGUCCUGUAACUUUACUCGACAUCAGGGUCCUGUAACUUUACCCAAAUAAAGGUAGGGGCCAUGAGACGUUUACCCUGGGGUCUCUCAAUUUUUUUAAGGACACAGACUCCUUUUCAGUGCUGUUUUCCCAGCCACAUCACCCUCUGUCUUUCCCUAUUAGCUGAGGUAUUUGAGAGGUGUCGGAAUCUGUGGGUAUUGGUGAUUCCGAGAUUGUAGAAAGUCUCUGUCUUUCUGCCCCGUUGCCAAAGCAGAAGCCAUAAUUGGUCUGUGCUGUUUUCAAGGUUGUUUAUUUUUGCUUAUCUAUAACAUGUUCUGCUGCCCUGCCGCAGCUCUGUCCUGCAGGGCAGCGUGUGGGGCUCUGCCCUCAGUGGGAUGGUACAAACAUUAAAUACCACAAACUACCUGUGCUGGAUUUACAAUAACGUGCCAAUAUCUGUCAUCUACGUUGAACAGUGUGUCCCCAGCCUAAACCAACAGAAAAAUGCCAACAUCACCAAGAACAUGGAGGUAAGGAAGAAGAAGGAGGAAGAACAGGAUCAGGCCCACUUUCCUCCAUCUUAGAACUCCUGACCCCCCCUGUACAAAGUAAAACCCCCCUGUACAGGUGUUAAAACCCCCCUGUACAAUACUAAAAAAUUUUACCCUCUAAUUUGUGACUACUUUUACUAUACCAUCUAACCCUCUGUGACUGCUUGUUCCACCUUUAAAGUUGGUAAUUCAUUCCAUGGUUCAAACUCAAGCUCACAGCUGUUUUCAGCUGCUUGCCAGGGUCUAAAAUGCUUCUGACCAAGGCCUGGAACCUCUGAAAAUGUCUGAGGGACAUUUUGAGUUCCGACACCCCAGCACCUCCUUUCUGGGUUUUACAGGGAUUUCCCGUAAAUGCCUCUCAGAAAUCUGAUGGGCUGCAGCAACAAAACCUAAAGCCAGGGAACCUCAGAAAAACGGAAAGCUGGACAAGACAAACGCACAUCCAACCAAUAUGAUUAAUGCAACGUUCUCAGUUUAUUCAAGAUAAGGUGGUAGUUUAUAUAAGCUUCUACUUAGUUUACAAAAACAAAGACACUCUGGUUGGCAAACCAAUAUUGUUUACCUUUUCCUUAAAACGGCCUACACCUUACACUAUAAAACCUAUACUAAUUCACACCCAAGCAACCCAGUGGUCCCCAUCACACCUUAAGACAUUUUCUAUCUGCGCCACAAGCUCUGAAUUUCUAACUGCGUCAGAGGCUUUGAAGGCCCCACCAGGCCUCAAUCUGAGGCCUAGACUGGAGUAGCUCAACUUUCACAAUUCAUGUCCUCUUUCUCUCAAAAAUGCUGCAACAAAAACCAACAACAAGAGCGUGACCCUGCCCAACCAGAAGCGUCUGCACAGCGCAAUCUGCACCAUUCGCCCCUCUGGGCGAGGCCGGUGGGAUCGCUGUGGGCAGCACACAGCAGUGACACCCCCUCCUCAUAAAACUUCCCGGGCAGUGACUGUCCCCUGGGCUGGGCUCUGCUGAUGUCGGAACUCAAAAUGUCCCUCAGACAUUUUUUAGAGGUUCCAGGCCUUGGUCAGAAGCAUUUUAGACCCUGGCAAGCAGCUGAGAACAGCUGUGAUCUUGAGUUUGAACCAUGGAAUGAAUUACCAACUUUAAAGGUGGAACAAGCGGUCACAGAGAGUUUGAUGGUAUAGUAAAAGUAGUCACAAAUUAGAGGGUAAAAUUUUUUAGUAUUGUACAGGGGGGUUUUAACACCUGUACAGGGGGGUUUUACUUUGUACAGGGGGGUCAGGAGUUCUAAGAUGGAGGAAAGUGGGCCUGAUCCUGUUCUUCCUCCUUCUUCUUCCUCACCUCCAUGUUCUUGGUGGUGUUGGCAUUUUUCUAUUGGUUUAGUCUGGGGACACACUGUUCAACAUAGAUGAUAGAUAUUGGCACAUUAUUGUAAAUAUAGUACGCGUAAUUUCUGGUAUAUAAUGUUUGUACCAUCCCACUGAGGGCAGAGCCCCACACGCUGCCCUGCAGGACAGAGCUGCGGCAGGGCAGCAGAACUUGUUAUAGAUAAGCAAAAAUAAACAACCUUGAAAACAGCACAGACGAACUAUGGCUUCUUCUUUGGCAACAGGGCAGAAAGACAGAGACUUUCUACAAUCUCAGAAUCACCAAUACCCACAGAUUCCGACAUGCUGAGACCCCCAAGUGUCCCCAAGUUCUGCCAGAGGGGCUGAGUGGGGAAAGCACGCUGCUGCCAGGCCAUGCUGGGCCUUCACUGGGCUUUGCUGGGGUGUGAUGCCACCGAUUUAAUAUUUCAUAGAAUUCCGUUCAAAGUCCAUUGUCCCUUCCCGCCCACAGUCUGCAGACACUAAUCCAGUUCCUAAUUAAUUCCUACACUGCAGAGACAAACUUGUCAAUUCAGGCCUUACUUAUUUAAUGUUUUUUUGUCUGAUUGCAAAAGUUGUUGCCACGAGGUUUGCUACACAUUAACUGGGAGAAAAGUAAAAAAUAAGUAACAUAUUGAUUAGACCCAGCCUGGAUGCCAUGAAUGCAUUAUGGCCAAUUGUUUGUUUCUUUGAUCUUGGCUGAUCAGAAAAAGUUUUAAUCUGAAUAUAUAAUGACUAAUUAUUUCAUGGAGUGAGUAGAACUUAAUAAUGUAAAAUACAAAAAUACAAAAAUUAGAGCUCACCUU
Long non-coding RNA from Taeniopygia guttata (zebra finch), 4149 nucleotides. The record is from Ensembl. Lineage: Eukaryota; Metazoa; Chordata; Aves; Passeriformes; Estrildidae.